AACGUUGAGCGACGGAUCACUGUGCUCGUGUGUCGAUGAAGAGUGCAGUCAAAUGUGUGAAUUAAUUUGAAAUGCAUAUGGCUUUGAACAUCGACAUCUUGAAUCCAUAUUGCGGCUAGGGGAUAUCCUGUGGCCAAUUCUGUCUGAGGGUCG
Schistosoma mattheei is the source of this 153-nucleotide non-coding RNA. The record is from Rfam. NCBI's taxonomy places the organism in Eukaryota, Metazoa, Platyhelminthes, Trematoda, Strigeidida, Schistosomatidae.